This 2148-nucleotide ribosomal RNA is filed under the name Triticum aestivum (bread wheat). RNAcentral describes it as "partial small subunit ribosomal RNA". The record is from RNAcentral. Lineage: Eukaryota; Viridiplantae; Streptophyta; Magnoliopsida; Poales; Poaceae.
AUGGCGAUGAGGUUCCUAUCAGCCGUGGAUCUGCCUUGUCAUCCAUGUAUGGCCAUGGUUAUCCUCCCCCUCCUCCUCCUGCUCCUCGUGCCUCUCGCCGCUGCCGAAACUUGGCCAUUUUGCGGCGAGAGCGGCAACUACAAAUCAAAUAGCACCUAUGAAGCCAACCUCAGGCACCUCUCAUCCACCCUCCCAAAGAAGGCAGCAUCCAGCACCACCCUCUUCGCCACCGACACAGUCGGCAAUGUUCCAAACACCAUCUUUGCCCUUGCUCUCUGCCGCGGGGACUCCAAUGCCUCUGCCUGCGAGGGAUGCUUGGUGACCGCCUUCCAGGACGGGCAGGAACACUGCACGAGCAAUAAGGACGCCACCGUGUACUACAAUAGCAAUCCCUGCAUGCUCAGGUUCUCCAACCAGAAUUUUCUCGCCACCAACGUCAAUGACAAUAUACUCGUCAUUGUGAGCCUCGACAUGUUCAUAAACAUCUCGACAAGAGCUGACUCCUUCAGGUUCUUGUUGUUUACACUUCUGAACAACACAGCUCAAUCGGCUGCGAACAGCUCGAGGAGGUUCAUCACCUCGCGCUUGGAUGUCAGCUCCCUCCCGACGCUCUACUGCCUUAUGCAGUGCACGCCCGACCUGACCGCUGACGACUGUGCGGCCUGUUUCCAGCCUUACUCCCAGAUAACACUCAAGUACAUGGAUGGUAGGAAAGGUGGUCGACUUCUGGGGACACGGUGUAGCAUGAGGUACGAGAUAUACCCGUUCUUUCAAGGGGACCCCAUGCUGAGCUUGGUAUCUGAACUUCCGCCGAUGAACAAUACCAUGCCGCCAGUUACAUUGUACCCACCCCCGCAGUCGCAACCGCAGUCACCGGAUGCGGCACCACCACCUCCGAAGGCGCAAGCGACCACCCAAGAACUUCAUGGACGCAACUCACACCGGAGGGCGCUUUGGAUUAUUGCUGUGGUAGCUCCAUUACUGUCAAUAUUUCUGUGUGUUAUUUUUUUCAUUAUAUGGAUGAGAAGACAAAGAAAAGGAACGGAAAUCAUACAUGAUCAAGCUGCCACAAAUAGGCCGGAAGAAGACGCAUUGGUUUGGAGAUUGGAAGAAAAGAGUUCAGAGUUCACUCUCUUUGACUUCUCUGAGAUCUUGCAAGCUACACACAACUUCUCGAAAGAAAACCGACUUGGGCAAGGUGGUUUUGGCCCUGUCUACAAGGGCCAAUUACCAGAUGGAAUAGAAAUUGCAGUUAAAAGGCUUGCCUCACAUUCAAGACAGGGUUUCACAGAAUUCAAAAAUGAAGUUGAACUUAUUGCAAAACUACAACACAGUAAUCUGGUCAAGCUCAUGGGUUGCUGCAUUCAGGGAGAGGAAAAACUUUUGGUUUACGAAUAUUUGCCAAAUAAGAGCUUGGACUUCUUUAUCUUUGAUGUUAGCAGAACAACUUUGGUUGAUUGGAAUAAAAGAUGUGUGAUAAUCGAAGGGAUAGCCCAAGGUCUACUGUAUCUCCACAAACACUCUCGGUUGCGCAUCAUACACAGAGACCUUAAGGCCAGCAACAUUCUCUUGGACCAGGACAUGAAUCCUAAAAUUUCUGAUUUUGGGCUAGCUAAAAUUUUCAGCUCCAAUGAUACUCAAGGAAGCACAAAGAGGGUGGUGGGAACAUAUGGCUAUAUGGCUCCGGAGUAUGCAUCUGAAGGCAUUUACUCGAUCAAAUCUGAUGUGUUCAGCUUUGGUGCCUUACUUCUCGAGAUCCUUAGCGGACAAAGGAAUUCUGGUUUCCAUCAGCAUGAAGACUUUCUUAACCUCCUUGGAUAUUCAUGGCAGCUCUGGGAAGGAGGAAGAUUUCUUGAGCUUCUAGAAGCAUCAAUUGCUAACGAGAUCCAUGCAGCGGAGGCUAGGAGGUACAUUAACAUUGCACUAAUGUGCGUACAAGAGCAUGCGGAUGAUCGACCGACCAUGUCAAAUGUUGUUGCGAUGUUAAACAGCGAGGGUGUUAUUCUUCGAGAGCCUAAGCAUCCGGCAUACUUCAACCUAAGGGUAUCUAAGGAAGAUGAAUCGGGUAGUGUUCUGUACAGUCAUAAUGAUGUAACUAUCUGCAGUAAUAAUGACGUAACCAUCACUGAGGAGCCAGAUGGCAGAUAG